CCUACGGGUGGCAGCAGUGAGGAAUAUUGGUCAAUGGGCGCAAGCCUGAACCAGCCAAGUCGCGUGAGGGAUGACGGUCCUAUGGAUUGUAAACCUCUUUUGUCAGGGAGCAACGCCGGCUACGUGUAGCCGGACUGAGAGUACCUGAAGAAAAAGCAUCGGCUAACUCCGUGCCAGCAGCCGCGGUAAUACGGGGGAUGCGAGCGUUAUCCGGAUUGAUUGGGUUUAAAGGGUGCGUAGGCGGAAUGCCAAGUCAGCGGUAAAAUCGCGGGGCUCAACCUCGCUCCGCCGUUGAAACUGGCGUUCUUGAGUGGGCGAGAAGUAUGCGGAAUGCGUGGUGUAGCGGUGAAAUGCAUAGAUAUCACGCAGAACUCCGAGUGCGAAGGCAGCAUACCGGCGCCCAACUGACGCUGAAGCACGAAAGCGUGGGUAUCGAACAGGAUUAGAUACCCUGGUAGUC
Molecule: ribosomal RNA, 460 nt
Filed under: uncultured bacterium
Lineage: Bacteria
Description: partial 16S ribosomal RNA
Rfam family: Bacterial small subunit ribosomal RNA
Source: RNAcentral